CCCUCUGCAUGCAGACACUGAACUUUCCUCAUAGAGUUUCAUUGAUUUAAUUCAUCUCUAUGAGGAGAUGCUGAUUGGCCAGGGCUGUGCUUGAAUUGUGCUGGCUCUGCCCCUGAUCUGCCUCCUUGUCAGUCUCAGCCAAUCCUAUGGGGAAGCAUUGUGAUUGGAUCAGGCCACCACUUCUGAUGAUGUCAGAGGUCAGAGGAAGUUCAC
Pelobates cultripes (western spadefoot toad) is the source of this 213-nucleotide non-coding RNA. The record is from the annotation of a GenBank genome assembly. Lineage: Eukaryota; Metazoa; Chordata; Amphibia; Anura; Pelobatidae.